CCUACGGGUGGCAGCAGUGGGGAAUAUUGGGCAAUGGGCGCAAGCCUGACCCAGCAACGCCGCGUGAAGGAAGAAGGCUUUCGGGUUGUAAACUUCUUUUGUCAGGGAAGAGUAGUAGACGGUACCUGACGAAUAAGCCACGGCUAACUACGUGCCAGCAGCCGCGGUAAUACGUAGGGGGCAAGCGUUGUCCGGAUUUCCUGGGUGUUAAGGGGGUGUAGCCGGGUUGACAAGUCAUAUGUGAAAUGCUGCGGCUUAACCGCAGAACUGCAUUUGAAACUGUUGAUCUUGAGUACUGGAGAGGUAGACGGAAUGCCGAGUGUAGCGGUGAAAUGCGUAGAUAUUAGGAGGAACACCAGUGGCGAAGGCGGUCUGCUGGACAGCAACUGACGGUGAGGCGCGAAAGCGUGGGGAGCAAACAGGAUUAGAUACCCGUGUAGUC
This 442-nucleotide ribosomal RNA is filed under the name uncultured bacterium. RNAcentral's name for it is "partial 16S ribosomal RNA". It matches the Rfam family "Bacterial small subunit ribosomal RNA", at positions 338 to 795 of the family's 1533-position model. The record is from RNAcentral.